RNAcentral lists this long non-coding RNA (6544 nucleotides) under Sus scrofa (pig). RNAcentral describes it as "lncRNA (ENSSSCG00050044726.1)". Lineage: Eukaryota; Metazoa; Chordata; Mammalia; Artiodactyla; Suidae. The record is from RNAcentral.
GAAGGGAUGAGUCAGCCUAUCUGGGAUUUUAAACAGCCAGUUCCAGGGACACCGUACAACCCAAAGCCAUGCCUCUAGCAAGUCACUAUUAAAAAUAUUCUCUAUUGGGCAAGACCUCCUAAUGUGUCAGCCUUGACUGGUUCCUUUUAAGUAAGAGGAAACAUUAGGAAGCAAAAACAACGGAAUUAUUACGGAAAGCAGUGAUAAGGUUAUUUCCUUCAUUUGCCUUUAAAAAAUCUGGUGUUUUUUUUUUUUUUUUUUUUUUUCCUUGAGAGCCUUGGAAGUUUUACAUGAACAAGCAGAUAUAACUCAUUCUACCAAGGACAAAGUGAAGCCGAAUCAACUUUCUCUCUGAAAAAGCUAAUAAUAUGUAAAUGGAUUUGCAAAUAUCAGUGGCUAUACCGUUUACACGCACUUGAGUGAUGCUAUAAGCUUUUUCUGCACAGGCAUAAAGAACAUGAUAUUAUUUCCAUAAUUGCAAAGAUGUAGACACAACAGGACAAAGAUAUUUUGAAAGAAAAAAUGAGAAAUUUUGUAAAUUUUGGUAGGGCCUUUUAAUGCCUUAUAAGUUACAUGUUGAAAAUCGGUUCCCUGAACAUUGUUCUAAUGUUAGUAAUAGAAUGCUAGAAGUGAUACUUACCUCUGAGUCUAAACACUUCGUUUAAUUAUUCUUAAGAUGUGAAUUUCAGUACAAGUGAGUAUGUACAAAAAUAUUAGUGAUGAAUGGAUUAAAGUAGCGGAAAGUGCAGGUCACUGUUCAUAGUAGGAGCCCGGCAAUGGUUAGCUGAACUUGACUGAUGUAGAUAAGAGGGAAAACGCGUUAAACCCUCCUGAAAACAGAAGGUCCCCGGAAGGAGUCCUUUUUCCUAACUUGAUUAAGGAUUUAGGGUGAUUAUUUCUCUUCUUUAGAUUUUACAGUGUCUGUUUAAAUUUUCUGCCCUGUUAGAUAUGACUUUGUCAUUAUAAUCUGAAAUAUAUGUAUUUUUAACGUUGGAAAGACAAACUGCUUCCUCAUAUGGGCUUUUAAGGUAGUGCUGCAUGAAAUGCCUGUGCUUUGACUCUGCUGUCACAGCUCCACACACAGCGUCUCCUGAAGUGAAGUGCCAUGUGCAGCAUGUGGGCACAUAUACACCAUUACUCCAGCUUACACCGGAAAUAAAACCCUGAAAACGAGUUACCAGAGUCGCAGCAGGGCAUCUUCCAUCACCAUCACUCACAGGUUUAGUGGGCACGUCUGCAUCUUUUCAGUGUCCGCCCUCUGUCAAUGUCUGCCCUUCCCGUCUGCUCCUCAGAGAGGGACUCACAGGGAGAGGGUGACAACAGAGGCAUGAAUACUAGAAACUGUGGUUCACUGGGGGCCACCCAUGACUUCCUGCUAUAAAGAAACUCCAUUAAAGUUUUAUUAUGUGUUCUCUUGGCUCUCAGGAAGCAUUGCUAGUUACCAUGAGAAUUCUGAUUUUUGCCCCCAGUGGUUGAAGCCAUCGCGUGCAUUUAGGUAAAGGAGUGAAAAGGUCAGGCAGGUCUCUUAGGCAGCCCCGUAAAUGAUAGAUUUCAGAAGAACAAGACUAUUUAAUGAGGCCAAUUCUAAAGUAGUACAAUAACAUUGAGGUACGAAGUGAUUUGAGCCUGAAAUUAUGCUGCUUUUAUUUUUUUCCCUAAAAUUUCCUUUGGUUUCCUUUUAACUCUGGAAGAGGGUGAAGAAGUAAAGAUUAGGGGGAAAGAGAAGAAUGGUAUGAUUCUCUGUGUAGCGACGCCAUUCGCUCAGAUGAGGGAGGCACAGGAAACUUUGUCUUUUAAAGAUGUCUUGACAUUGAGGUUUCUUUGGACGUACAAGGAGAAAUAUGUCCUGGUCAUAUCCUGCCUGGACUUUGAACAGAGAGAGAUCUAGAAUGGUGAUGGAGGUUUAGGAAUCAUUUGCGUACUGAUGGUUUUUAAAGCCUUCGGAGAGAGGGAGCUCACCCGAGGAAGGCACAGAAGGGUGCUAUAGAGAAGGGAGGAGUAGCAGAAUGCACUGGGGGCAUUCGCAGACUCGGCGUUCGUUAUGCUGCCCUGCCUCUCAAUGGAGAAGGAAGCACACGUGCUUUGAAAAAGCUCCCAGGGCCUGCUUUUGUAUGCCUUCUUCUCCUGAGAGGGAUGUGGGCAUUGCUACUGUUUCAAAAGUUCUCCAGGAGCUUCUGAGGUGCACCCAGGAUUAAGAACCGCUCAAGGAAAGUGAAAACAGAAGAAUGAGCAUUCCAUUUAGGGGAAGCUAUAGUCAAAGGAAAGAGGCCAGACCUGAUAAUGUUAUCUGCAGAUGACAGGAACAAAUAUACAGUAUUAGCAACGGUCACAAAGUUUUUCCAGACAUGUUUUUAAUUUUUUUUUUUAAGUUUUACUGAAGUACGGUUGAUUUAUAAGGUCGUGAUCAUUCUGCCACAUAACGAAGUGAUUCAGUUGGGCAGGCACACAUACCCACUCUCUUUCCGAGUCUCUUUCCACAUAGAUUAUCACAGACUACAGGGUAGAGUUCUUUGUGCUACACAGUGGGUCCCUGACAGCCAGUCACUCUAUAUACCUCAGUUGCGUAUGCUAAUCCCAAAUGUGCCACAGAUUUAAGGAUAACUUUAUGUAUGUAAUUUCUGUGAAGGACUCACAGCCAUGCAUGGGGUUCUUCCACUGCUAGUAUACCCUCUGUCAUUCAAUAGCCACAUUUUUUUCUAGAAAUACACGUGUUUCUAGUACUUCACAUUGAUUUGGUGACUGAAUCUGACCAUAUUUCAGAAACUUUCAAACAUGCUCUCCUGUGUUUCUAUAGCUCUCUUUUUCCCUAGCUUGCUCUUCUCUCUUUUCUUUCCUUGACGUUGCACCUCAUCCUUCUAAAUUUUGGCAUCCUUUAGAAAAGUUCCUGUCUCCAGCUUAUUCUUCCUCCCUGGGUUCCUGGGUGUUUACUUUAGCUUUAGCUGUUUAUGUUUGUUCUCAAGUGCAUCUUUCAAGAUGUGCAGUCUAGUCCAUGUCCAAUUAGAUCCUGAUGGCAAAUCAAAUUUAAGUGUGAACUGUGGAAUUUUCCUUGGCCUUUUAAAACCUCUCCUAACAGCCAUCUCUCUCAUCAUCUCUUUUUACCUUUUACCUUUUUAACUGAUCAGUUAGGAGAAUGAAAAUGCCAAGCCUUACUGCGUCCUCCGAAGCCUCUCUGCACUUCAGUUGCUCUGUGAAAUGGAGACAUAGCAGUAUCUUCCUCUGGGGGCAAUUAAGAGGCUUAUAGAAGGCAGUAGACAUAAAUUACCACAUUUUGGCAUUGACCAGUUAGUGAGCACUCAGUAAAUAUUAGUUGUCAUUACUUCCUAAUGACACCUCCUUUUCCCCCCAAAGUUUACAAGCUUUUCUAAAUGAAUUAACCAAAAUAUAAUUAAUGGGAGCAAUACCCACAAGUACACAGUGGCACAUACACACUAGCACAUAGGCACACACAUAGGUAUCCUGAUUUGGGUGGUGGUUACACAGGCACAUACAUGUUCCCAAGCUUAUCGAGCUCCGUACCUACGAUGUAGGCGUUUUCUAGAUGUGAGCCAUGCCUCAGUCUGCUACUUGUGGAAAAAAAUGUAAUGAGGAGCAGAGUAGUAGAGCAGUUAAAAGUGUGGGUUCUGGAACUAGAUUUAGGUUUACAUCCUGGCUCUAGUACCAACUAGCUGUGUGAUGUGAGGCACGAGAAGGCCUGUGCUUUUGUUUCCUCAUUAGUUGGAUCUGGAUAAAAGUACCUAUCUCAUAGGGUUGCUAUGAUGACUGCAGGAAGUAAUCUAAAAUAGUGCUUGGCGUAUCCUAAAUAGCAUAUAAAUAUUGUUUUUAAAUAUAGUUUCUUAAAAUAACAGCAUUGCGUGUAUCUAUGAUCUAUAUCCUUUUCUUUGAAUUGCCCCUAUCUUUACUUGGGUAGUGUCUUUUUUUUAAUGCAGCGAAUAAGCCUUUAUACGUUUUGCUACCUCUUUGUAUAUCCAACGUUUAGCAUGGCACUACAUUUACCAAGAGCAAAAUCAACAUUCAUUGACUAACUAAAUGUUGACCCAGAAGGUCAUGUCGGAUCAAAAUAUGACAAUUUUUAUUGGAAAAACUGAUUAAAUUGAGGAUUUCUAAUGAGUAGUGACAUUGUAUAUGACUGAUUUUAACCAAAUUUCCCCAAAGCAUAAUUAUUCCUUUAGCAGCAAAUUUAAAAAUGGUAUGAAAAUAAGUUUGUGAGAAGUAAACAGAUUUUAUUUUAACCUCAACUAUUCUACUCAACCUUUCAGAUGCCAGAAAAUUAUAGUAAUAAUAAAUUGGAAUAACGUCAGAUGAUGGAAAAUUCAAACCCACAUGGACAGUGGUCUCUUGUAAAUAGAGUGGCUGUGGAUCUGGAGCUUUAAACAUUUAAAUCUGAAAGGCAAAUGUCCGAGUGUCUAGGGACUCAUAGUGGCCUUUUUCAUUAUGCGUUCGAAUUGUUUAAACCACAUUUUAAGGUGGAGUGUAAAACCUGUUUGAUCUAACAGUCAUUUGCAUGAAUUAGGAGAAUGUCAUUGUGCCUUAGGAGAGAAUUACAGACUAUAUUUUUUCAAUUUUAGCUGAUGGCAAUCAUAUUAUUAAUGUGACAUUGUCUCUUCUCUCCGUUAUACAGUAAAAGGAACAAGAUGCCACUUGAUUCCUAAUUCUCGGUUUGGGAACUGAUAAUUACCACUUAUGGCAUACCAGUUAUUUUUCAGUUCCUGUCCUUGGUGGAUUUCACAGGUUUUAUUAAACCGUGGCAGUAUGAUUAUUAUCCCUGUGUAGACAUAAGAACACUAACAAUAUAGCUCUCAAUUUAAAGCUCGAACAUCCUUCACUGGGUGUGUGAACAUUUUCCUCUUUAAUGUGAUGUUUCCAACAUUUAGAAAAUUGACGUACAGAACCAGAAUAAUUUAAAAACUGUGAAAUAACUAUAUAGAAAGUGAUAGGAUGAUAUGUAAUAAAAUAAAGGCCAUUAUAGAAGUGAAAAAAUACAUUUUACUGGUUGCAAUAAAUCUGAUUCUGAAAAAAAAAAGAAAAUGUUUAUGAUGUAUAUGGGGAGAGGGAGAGAGUUAUCCUCUUACAAAGUAAAUUUGAAGCAGUACGUUAAAUAGUUUGGUUUGAGGGGAGGUGUAUCAGGAAACUAAUAUUUAAAAUAUUCAAAUAUCUUAUGGACAGUGAAAAGUCCUACCAGGCUUUUUUCAAAGAUAAGAACUUAAAAGAGUGCAGUAGUUCUAACAUAGGUCAUGAGAAUAUCUCUGGAUACGACAUAGCUCCAUCUUUUUGUAUAAAACUUGCCUUUCAAGGGGUGAACAAUACUCUCUCUAUAUCUUAUUUUGGUCAGUGAGAUAGGAAAUACAUAUGACAAGGAACUUAUUUUAUUUUUAAAAAUUAGCACUUGGGACUAAGAUGUCUUUUGGUUCCAAACUAGUGUUGCACUAAUUUGUGCUGAUUUUAAUAUCGUUAGACUUUGUCAAAUGAAUGGGUAGCUAAACCCGUCCCUUUGUUAGUGGUCAGUGUUACAUCGUCCGUUCUGCACGCAGCUGAGGCUGUCUCUCGUCCUCUCAUUAUCCCAGUAAGAGUUUCGACCCCUUAGCCAGGUAGUAAUCACUGGUUCUUGAGAAAGCUGGGAACGUUUGAGUCAGUCAGACGAGCGAGAGAAACAAAGACAGUGAUAAAGGGAGCAACGAGCAUUUAGUGGAACAAAUUGCCUGUGAGAAGCCUGGGGAUUGGCCCAGGAGCCUUGGAAAGCGGAGCUCGGUGACAGGACGCCUGCAGGAGAAGCCAGCCACAUCUUCAGGUGGGGAGGAAGGGGCUUGCAAGAUGUCAUGGUCUUCUCUAUAAAUUCAGAAACAGGUCCUCUGCUCGGUCAGUACACCUUGAAUGAGUUGAGGGAUUUAGUGAGGGAAGAAAAACUGAGUUUUAAUGGGCACGGCAAAAUUCAGCGUUAGGCAUGGAGACGAAUGCGGGAAGGAGUCACUGAGGAGCAACGGUGAGGUCUUGGCGUGUUAUGACGCGAUCAGGAUGGCUCUGCAAGCUUUCCAGUGGCCCCUGACAGAGAAGGACAAAGGGAAAUACAAUUCCACACUAAGUGAGACGACAGCGGACUCUCAAGUGGGGGGGAGACCAAGGAAUUAUGUGGGAAAGGUCAGAUUCGGAAGGGGUCAGGAAGGUCUGAUUCGGAAAUCUUAGACCAGAAACCCAUACGCUCCAUAAAGUUAGCAAAAUACUAUGGGCAAAAUAUGGGACCAUAUUCUAGGAGCCGCUAGUAAAAGGUGGUAACCUGCUGCCCUAGUCUCUGAUAAUAGCAGUCGAAAGAAAAACUGUCAGGCCAGUAGAGCUUCCACCAUUACUCUGUUAGUGGAGGGCUCUCUGUGUUGUAUAUUCUGCCUGUUUGGGGAACGGGCAAACAUUUUUUUAGAGAUAGAGGGUAUAUGCUUUCCACUUUGUGGGCGUAUUUUCUAUCACAGCUGCUAAAAUCUACCAUCAUAGCAAAAAAACAGGUUUCGAAAAUCUGAAAAUGUGUUUAUGUGAAAACUACAGGUGGUUGCCCAGAAAC